CCUACGGGAGGCAGCAGUGGGGAAUAUUGGACAAUGGGGGGAACCCUGAUCCAGCGACGCCGCGUGAGUGAAGAAGUAUUUCGGUAUGUAAAGCUCUAUCAGCAGGGAAGAAAAUGACGGUACCUGACUAAGAAGCCCCGGCUAACUACGUGCCAGCAGCCUCGGUAAUACGUAGGGGGCAAGCGUUAUCCGGAUUUACUGGGUGUAAAGGGAGCGGAGACGGUGCAGCAAGUCUGAUGUGAAAGGUCGGGGCUCAACCCCGGGACUGCAUUGGAAACUGUUGAACUGGAGUACAGGAGAGGUAAGCGGAAUUCCUAGUGUAGCGGUGAAAUGCGUAGAGAUUAGGAGGAAUACCAGUGGCGAAGGCGGCUUACUGGACUGUAACUGACGUUGAGGCGCGAAAGCGUGGGGAGCAAACAGGAUUAGAUACCCGGGUAGUC
RNAcentral lists this ribosomal RNA (440 nucleotides) under uncultured bacterium. RNAcentral's name for it is "partial 16S ribosomal RNA". It matches the Rfam family "Bacterial small subunit ribosomal RNA", at positions 338 to 795 of the family's 1533-position model. The record is from RNAcentral.